This is a small nuclear RNA of Cricetulus griseus (Chinese hamster), 103 nucleotides long. The record is from Ensembl. Lineage: Eukaryota; Metazoa; Chordata; Mammalia; Rodentia; Cricetidae.
GUGCUUGCUUCGGCAGCACAUAUACUAAAACUGGAACAAUACAGAGAUUGGCAUGGCCCUGUGAAAGGAUGACAUGCAAAUUCACGAAGCAUUCUAUAGCUUU